GCUAAUACCGGAUAAUAUUUUGAACCGCAUGGUUCAAAAGUGAAAGACGGUCUUGCUGUCACUUAUAGAUGGAUCCGCGCUGCAUUAGCUAGUUGGUAAGGUAACGGCUUACCAAGGCAACGAUGCAUAGCCGACCUGAGAGGGUGAUCGGCCACACUGGAACUGAGACACGGUCCAGACUCCUACGGGAGGCAGCAGUAGGGAAUCUUCCGCAAUGGGCGAAAGCCUGACGGAGCAACGCCGCGUGAGUGAUGAAGGUCUUCGGAUCGUAAAACUCUGUUAUUAGGGAAGAACAUAUGUGUAAGUAACUGUGCACAUCUUGACGGUACCUAAUCAGAAAGCCACGGCUAACUACGUGCCAGCAGCCGCGGUAAUACGUAGGUGGCAAGCGUUAUCCGGAAUUAUUGGGCGUAAAGCGCGCGUAGGCGGUUUUUU
This 435-nucleotide ribosomal RNA is filed under the name Staphylococcus aureus. Its description in RNAcentral is "bacterial SSU rRNA". It matches the Rfam family "Bacterial small subunit ribosomal RNA", at positions 162 to 584 of the family's 1533-position model. The record is from RNAcentral. Lineage: Bacteria; Bacillati; Bacillota; Bacilli; Caryophanales; Staphylococcaceae.